RNAcentral lists this ribosomal RNA (301 nucleotides) under uncultured bacterium. RNAcentral describes it as "partial 16S ribosomal RNA". It matches the Rfam family "Bacterial small subunit ribosomal RNA", at positions 509 to 807 of the family's 1533-position model. The record is from RNAcentral.
CAGUCGCCACGGGAAUACGAGGGGGGCAAGCGUUGUUCGGAGUUAUUGGGCGUAAAGGGCGCGUAGGCGGUUUGACAAGUUUGGUGUGAAAUCUAUGGGCUCAACCCAUAGCCUGCAUCGAAAACUGUCGGGCUUGAGUAUGGGAGAGGUGAGUGGAAUUUCCGGUGUAGCGGUGAAAUGCGUAGAUAUCGGAAGGAACACCUGUGGCGAAAGCGGCUCACUGGACCAUUACUGACGCUGAGGCGCGAAAGCUAGGGGAGCAAACAGGAUUAGAUACCCGCGUAGUCCCUGUCUCUUAUAC